UUGCUUCAGCAGCACGUAUACUAAAAUUAGAGGGAUGUAAAAAAGAUUAGCAUGGUCCUUGUGCAAGGAUGACAUGCGAAUUUGUAAAGAGUUCCAUAUUUAA
Small nuclear RNA from Phacochoerus africanus (Common warthog), 103 nucleotides. The record is from RefSeq and is a predicted model, not a curated record. Lineage: Eukaryota; Metazoa; Chordata; Mammalia; Artiodactyla; Suidae.